UACGUAGGGUGCAAGCGUUGUCCGGAAUUAUUGGGCGUAAAGAGCUCGUAGGCGGUCUGUCGCGUCGGCUGUGAAAACCCGGAGCUCAACUCCGGGCCUGCAGUCGAUACGGGCAGACUGGAGUUCGGCAGGGGAGACUGGAAUUCCUGGUGUAGCGGUGAAAUGCGCAGAUAUCAUGAGGAACACCGGUGGCGAAGGCGGGUCUCUGGGCCGAUACUGACGCUGAGGAGCGAAAGCGUGGGGAGCGAACAGG
Molecule: ribosomal RNA, 253 nt
Filed under: uncultured bacterium
Lineage: Bacteria
Description: partial 16S ribosomal RNA
Rfam family: Bacterial small subunit ribosomal RNA
Source: RNAcentral